RNAcentral lists this ribosomal RNA (253 nucleotides) under uncultured bacterium. RNAcentral describes it as "partial 16S ribosomal RNA". It matches the Rfam family "Bacterial small subunit ribosomal RNA", at positions 524 to 776 of the family's 1533-position model. The record is from RNAcentral.
UACAGAGGAUGCAAGCGUUAUCCGGAAUGAUUGGGCGUAAAGCGUCCGCAGGUGGUCAAAUAAGUCUGUUGUUAAAGCGUUAGGCUCAACCUAAUAAGGGCAAUGGAAACUAUUAGACUAGAGUACGUUCGGGGCAGAGGGAAUUCCCAGUGUAGCGGUGAAAUGCGUAGAGAUUGGGAAGAACACCGGUGGCGAAAGCGCUCUGCUAGGCCUGUACUGACACUGAGGGACGAAAGCUAGGGGAGCGAAUGGG